AAGUCGUAACAAGGUAACCGUAGGUGAACCUGCGGUUGGAUCAUUACCAAUAUGUGACAUACCUUUCAUUUCUGGGGUUGUGGCCUUUAAAACAAAAACCACCUUUCUAUUAUUGAUUUGGUAGUCUUGCGUUUGUUCUGGACGCGGUUGCGAGUUUUCGCGGCCGAACCCCCUUGCUCCGCGUUCCAGUUCCGUACUGGGCAACCAGUCCAAGCUACCAAUCGGGAUUUAUAAUCCCAAAAUGUACAAACCCUAUAUUUACCUAUACAGGCUAAAAUAACACAAGUGUUUUGUCCAACGAUGAAACGUUUAUAAAAAAAUUGUAAAAACAACUUUUGACAACGGAUCUCUUGGCUCUC
RNAcentral lists this unclassified non-coding RNA (359 nucleotides) under fungal sp. Its description in RNAcentral is "partial internal transcribed spacer region". The stretch from base 1 to 46 matches the Rfam family "Eukaryotic small subunit ribosomal RNA", at positions 1786 to 1831 of the family's 1831-position model. The record is from RNAcentral. Lineage: Eukaryota; Fungi.